Myripristis murdjan (pinecone soldierfish) is the source of this 2794-nucleotide RNA transcript. It is a transcript of the gene named TELO2-interacting protein 2-like, with no coding region annotated. The record is from RefSeq and is a predicted model, not a curated record. NCBI's taxonomy places the organism in Eukaryota, Metazoa, Chordata, Actinopteri, Holocentriformes, Holocentridae. The transcript is spliced from 11 exons.
UGAACGCGCUCGGUCCGUCCCGGUAAGCUGUCCGUCAGCAGCAGCAGCGGCCACGAGCAGCGACUCUUCCGUCAUUAAAGUGAAUUCACGUCAUCAAAUCAUUUUGUUCACGUGCACGUCCGCCGGGGAGCAGCGCAGCUCAGGAUGGAUCUGUCCUCUCUGCUCCAUCAGCUCACCCUCCCUCCUUCAUCAUCAUCAUCAUCAUCAUCAUCACCGCCGGAGAAGCCCCGCCCCCCACAGCUCCCUCCUCCAAUCACAGAGGUCCUGGCUCGGCUGCAGGAGAAGCUGAUUGGUGCAGAGGAUGAAAAAGCCUCGGACGUUCUGAUUGGCCAGGCGGAGCAGCUGUUCCGCACGGCCGAUCCCGAUUGGCUGUUCCGUCCGGACCCGGCCAAUCAGGCGGCGCUCGUCGCCGUGGCCUCCGCUCUGAUUGGCCGCGCCGCUCUGCCGCUCUGCGAGCCGGACGCCCCGCCCCCCGCCUCCGGCUACCGGGACGUCCCGGAGCGAGCGCGCCCGGUGUGCUCGGCGCUCGCCGCCCUGCUGGUCAGACUGGGACGGUGUCAGAGCGAGGCUGGGGGCGGGGCCUCGCGCUCCCUGCUGCACGCUGUGGCCCCGCCCUGCUUCGUGUUCGCUGUCACUCACCUGCAGGUGGCGCCGUGGACGAGCCCGGCCUCCAGACAGGCUGCAGCCGGCCUGCAGGGGGCGCUGCUGAGGGCGGGGCGCUGGAGAGACCCCGCCCACUUCCUGAUGGGGGAUGAAGAGGAGGAGGAGGGGACGAGCAGAGGCAUGCUGGGAGGCGUCCUGGACGUCCUGCAGCCCCAACUCAACAAGGACACGUGGCAGCACUCUGAGGCGGUGAAGUUUGUGUUCUCAUCGACGCUCCUGCAGGUGAGCCGCCCCGCCCUCUCCCCCCACCUGCCCCGCCUCCUCCCCCCCGCCCUCCUGCUCUCAGACCACUACAGACCGGAGAACUGCAUGCUGGGAGUUCGCUGUGUGCACCACAUAGUGCUCAACACGCCUGCAGCAGAGCUCCGUCAGUACAACAGAGCAGAGGUUCUGUACCAGGCCCUGUACAAACACCUGUACACCACUGAGGCCUCCGUCAUACAGCUCGUCCUGUCCUGUCUGCUGGACCUGCUGCUGGUUUUGGAGAAGCCCCCCGCCUCGCUCGCCCCCGCCCGCCCCCCCAGGAAGCCCUGUCGCCAUGACGACGUGCUGCGGCUGCUCCUGACCCACAUGGAGGCGGAGAGCAAGGUGGCGCUGCGGCGCGUCUACGCUGCCGCCCUGCCGCUCUACAUAGACAGGAUGGGCGUGGCCGUGUGCAGACACCUGAGGCGGGUGGAGCGAGUGCUGCUGGGAUACCUGGAGGUCGGAGACCCUCCGGACGAGACGAGCCGAUUGGCCGCUCUGACGGCGCUGCAGAGAACUGUGGAGGCCGCCUGGCCCAGGAUGGCCGGCCGGGUGUGUGUGUUGCUGCGCUGUCUGCUGCGGCUGCUGCUCGACGUUUCCUCCGACUGCGAGCCGACGGCUGCAGCCCGACAGCAGCUGAUGGAGCAGAGCCGAGUGUGUGUCGCCCUGCUGGACCGCUGCGCUCACACACAGCUGCAGUCUCUCCUGCAGCAGGUGGACAGCAGCUGCGUCAGCCCCGACGUGCUCAGCUGCUUGGCGACCGUAACCGUGGAGACACCGAGGUGACGCCGCACACCUGGAACCUCACACACACACACACACACUGCCACUCUGAUGUUGCCAUGGUGACCAGGACCACAGACGGACGGGUCGGAGGGGUUGUGCCUGUGACAUCACAGCGUCCCGGCGACUCAGGACGCCGUUUAAAGUGACUCAGCAAAAUGGCUGCUGCUCGUCUUCAUGACCGUGUUGUGAACGAUUUAAAAAAUCUCCAUGGCAACGAGCCGUUCAGUCUCAAACAAGAUAAAAACCAAAAAUCUGCCGCUGCAGGUUCACAUGUUCCAGGAAGAGGAAAAAAGCAACUAGAGAUUGCCCACCUGUUCGGCUGUGAUCGGUGGUCUGGCUCAUGGACUGAUGUUCCUCAGCCUCAUCGGCACCGGCGUCUCUGUGCUGGUCCUCUGUGACAGACCUCCACCGGUAAAACCUUCAUAGGAACUUCACAGGGAUCCACAACAUCAACGUAUGGAUACAUCGUUUGAGUGAAAGUGUGUGUGAAGGGGUGUGUGUGUGUGUGUGUGUGUGUGUGUGUGUGUGUGCUCGGCUGUAAGCGGCUCUCAAGUGAUGUCACCUGCCCCGGCGGCCAUGUUGGAGGUCAGCCGGCUGUGCUUCCCUUUCAGCACAGGUUUUCUGUUUGUGUCGGUGAGUUCGGUGACAGGCGGCGUCAGAAAAACACCUCACACUGCUCACAGGGAGAGAGAAGAGACCGAACGCAGCAGCGACUUUAAUUCCAAACCUUUCCACAGACACAGGAAACCCUCUGAUGCUGCGCUCUGAUUUGACAGCAGCCUCGUCAAACUGCUUUUAAAAAAACCUGAUAAAUGACAUCCGGAGUUCAACACGUCACUUUUUCCAGAGCUGAUGAUGAAAGCAGCUAACGAGUGAGACAUCUCGCUUCCCUCCCGUCUCUGCUGGCCGCUGCACGCGCUCAGUGGAUCUGCAGGUUCUGGUUUCUGGACGGUUCAGGUGUCUGAUGGACCGACUCUGAUGUUCCUCGUUCUGGCCCAUAAACAGUGGGAUGAUUAAUUUUAAUUUUAAUUUUUUUUUUUUGGUUUGUGUAUGAUCUGUGAACCAGCGACACUUUGUGCAAUAAAUUCAGUUUUUGCUGGCA